Molecule: non-coding RNA, 410 nt
Filed under: Homo sapiens (human)
Lineage: Eukaryota; Metazoa; Chordata; Mammalia; Primates; Hominidae
Source: RNAcentral
ACAUGGGUCUGCAGCUACUGAGCUGACAGCAAGGACUAAAAUGGGAGCACUGUAGAGGAAAAAAUUUUCAGCCUGACCAAUAUGGAGAAACCCCAUCUCUACUAAAAAUACAGAAUUAGAGGAGAGAAGGUUCCAAGAUGGCCAAAUAGGAACAGCUCCGGUCUACAGCUCCCAGCGUGAGCAACGCAGAAGACGGGUGACUUCUGCACUUCCAACUGAGGAUAUAUGAUUGUGUGGCCUGACAAUCUCAGAAAGUAAAAGCAAAGAAAUUGAAAGACAUGGAAAGAACUAGGCCGGGACCAGCACUGGGCCUUAAUAACCAGUUCACUGAGAUGUGUUGGUCAGCAUUAGAAGAGAAACCAUCUGUUGACUACAGUAGCAGGAUUCAUUUCUGCAACUGCUGAGAGACA